RNAcentral lists this unclassified non-coding RNA (275 nucleotides) under fungal sp. Its description in RNAcentral is "partial internal transcribed spacer region". The stretch from base 1 to 46 matches the Rfam family "Eukaryotic small subunit ribosomal RNA", at positions 1786 to 1831 of the family's 1831-position model. Lineage: Eukaryota; Fungi. The record is from RNAcentral.
AAGUCGUAACAAGGUAACCGUAGGUGAACCUGCGGUUGGAUCAUUAAAAAAUGUUUGACCUCGUGUCAAAACAACAUUUGUGUGCACUAUUGUCUGUCUUUGGUAGUUCGAGUUGCGCUCGAGGUUCAACGCCUCGAGCGCCUACCCGCAAGGGUUGGGCUACCGCCAUUUUUUGAUAAACAUUUUGUUUUUUUUUUUUCUUGUCUGAACGAAGAGUUAGUCUUUAUUGAUUAAUGAUUUGAAUACAACUUUUGACAACGGAUCUCUUGGCUCUC